UACGAAGGGGGCUAGCGUUGCUCGGAUUGACUGGGCGUAAAGGGCGCGUAGGCGGUUCGUACAGUCAGACGUGAAAUUCCUGGGCUCAACCUGGGGGCUGCGUUUGAUACGUGCGGACUUGAGUGCGGAAGAGGGUCGUGGAAUUCCCAGUGUAGAGGUGAAAUUCGUAGAUAUCGGGAGGAACACCAGAGGCGAAGGCGGCCACCUGGACGAACACUGACGCUGAGACGCGAAAGCGUGGGGAGCAAACAGG
This 253-nucleotide ribosomal RNA is filed under the name uncultured bacterium. RNAcentral describes it as "partial 16S ribosomal RNA". It matches the Rfam family "Bacterial small subunit ribosomal RNA", at positions 524 to 776 of the family's 1533-position model. The record is from RNAcentral.